CGUGUAGGCGGCUUUGUGUGUCUUCUGUGAAAGCCCUCGGCUCAACCGAGGAAUUGCAGGGGAAACUGCGGAGCUCGAGUCCGGGAGAGGAAAGCGGAAUUCCCAGUGUAGCGGUGAAAUGCGUAGAUAUUGGGAGGAACACCUGUGGCGAAGGCGGCUUUCUGGACCGGUACUGACGCUGAUACGCGAAAGCUAGGGGAGCAAACAGGAUUAGAUACCCUGGUAGUCC
RNAcentral lists this ribosomal RNA (229 nucleotides) under uncultured bacterium. RNAcentral describes it as "partial 16S ribosomal RNA". It matches the Rfam family "Bacterial small subunit ribosomal RNA", at positions 568 to 796 of the family's 1533-position model. The record is from RNAcentral.